UUUUAUGUGAUGAUAAGUUUAUUCUUAACAAAAUGCUGUUGAUCUACAACUUAAAACUAAACCAAAAGGAUUCUGAUGAUAAU
Drosophila virilis is the source of this 83-nucleotide non-coding RNA. The record is from Rfam. NCBI's taxonomy places the organism in Eukaryota, Metazoa, Arthropoda, Insecta, Diptera, Drosophilidae.